RNAcentral lists this ribosomal RNA (804 nucleotides) under Neospadicoides biseptata. RNAcentral describes it as "Neospadicoides JY-2022a partial large subunit ribosomal RNA". It matches the Rfam family "Eukaryotic large subunit ribosomal RNA", at positions 83 to 918 of the family's 3401-position model. The record is from RNAcentral. Lineage: Eukaryota; Fungi; Ascomycota; Sordariomycetes; Xenospadicoidales; Xenospadicoidaceae.
GUAACGGCGAGUGAAGCGGCAACAGCUCAAAUUUGAAAUCUGGCCUUGUGCCCGAGUUGUAAUUUGUAGAGGAUGCUUUUGGCACGGUACCUUCCGAGUUACCUGGAACGGUUCGCCACAGAGGGUGAGAGCCCCGUAUGGUUGGAUACCUAGCCUUUGUAAAGCUCCUUCGACGAGUCGAGUAGUUUGGGAAUGCUGCUCAAAAUGGGAGGUAAAUUUCUUCUAAAGCUAAAUACCGGCCAGAGACCGAUAGCGCACAAGUAGAGUGAUCGAAAGAUGAAAAGCACUUUGAAAAGAGGGUUAAACAGCACGUGAAAUUGUUGAAAGGGAAGCGCUUGUGACUAGACUAGGAUCCCUGUAAAUCAAUUGGCGUUCUCGCCAGUGCACUUUACAGGGUAUCAUGCCAGCAUCGGUUCUUCGAGGGGGAUAAAAACUUCAGGAACGUGGCUCCCUCGGGAGUGUUAUAGCCUGUUGUAGAAUACCCUUUAGGGGACCGAGGUACGCGUUCUCAAGGAUGCAUGGCUUAAUGGUCAUCAGCGGCCCGUCUUGAAACACGGACCAAGGAGUCAAGCAUUAGGGCGAGUGUUUGGGUGUUAAACCCGCACGCGUAAUGAAAGUGAAUGUAGGUGAGAGCUUCGGCGCAUCAUCGACCGAUCCUGAUGUUCUCGGAUGGAUUUGAGUAAGAGCCUUACCGCUUGGACCCGAAAGAUGGUGAACUAUGCCUGUAUAGGGUGAAGCCAGAGGAAACUCUGGUGGAGGCUCGCAGCGGUUCUGACGUGCAAAUCGAUCGUCAAAUAUGGGCAU